Molecule: long non-coding RNA, 205 nt
Filed under: Mytilus galloprovincialis (Mediterranean mussel)
Lineage: Eukaryota; Metazoa; Mollusca; Bivalvia; Mytilida; Mytilidae
Source: RNAcentral
AAAAUCUGAACAAUUGAAAAUUCGGAAACUCGCAUGACUGAUUAAUAUACAAAUGUUAACAACCAUAUUAUGGUUGGAAAUGAAUAUAGAGACAUUAAUUCCUUGGAAAUACCCAGGUAAUGCUAAUGACAAUGAAAGGAGGAAGUUUGUAAAGUAUAAAAAUCAAAUUUGAGGAACUUUACUAUACUUAUUAUGAGAAGAAGAC